Molecule: ribosomal RNA, 455 nt
Filed under: uncultured bacterium
Lineage: Bacteria
Description: bacterial SSU rRNA
Rfam family: Bacterial small subunit ribosomal RNA
Source: RNAcentral
UACGGGAGGCAGCAGUGGGGAAUAUUGCACAAUGGGCGAAAGCCUGAUGCAGCUAUGCCGCGUGUAUGAAGAAGGUCUUAGGGUUGUAAAGUACUUUCAUCGGGGAGGAAAAACAAAACUAAUAAUUUUAUUUCUUGACGUUACCCGAAAAAGAAGCACCGGCUAACUCCGUGCCAGCAGCCGCGGUAAUACGGAGGGUGCUAGCGUUAAUCAGAAUUACUGGGCGUAAAGAGCACGUAGGUGGUUUUUUUAAGUCAGAUGUGAAAUCCCUGGGCUUAACCUAGGAACUGCAUUUUGAAACUGAAAUACUAGAGUAUCGUAGAGGGAGGUAGAAUUCUAGGUGUAGCGGUGAAAUGCGUAGAUAUCUGGAGGAAUACCUGUGGCGAAAGCGGCCUCCUAAACGAAUACUGACACUGAGGUGCGAAAGCGUGGGGAGCAAACAGGGAUUAGAUACC